Molecule: ribosomal RNA, 497 nt
Filed under: uncultured bacterium
Lineage: Bacteria
Description: partial 16S ribosomal RNA
Rfam family: Bacterial small subunit ribosomal RNA
Source: RNAcentral
GACGAACGCUGGCGGCGUGCCUAAUACAUGCAAGUCGAGCGGACGAAUCGAAAGCUUGCUUUUGAUUCGUUAGCGGCGGACGGGUGAGUAACACGUGGGCAACCUGCCCUGUAGACGGGGAUAACACCGAGAAAUCGGUGCUAAUACCGGAUAACACGAAAUGUCGCAUGACGUUUCGUUGAAAGACGGCGCAAGCUGCCGCUACAGGAUGGGCCCGCGGCGCAUUAGCUAGUUGGUGAGGUAACGGCUCACCAAGGCGACGAUACGUAGCCGACCUGAGAGGGGGAGCGGCCACGCGGGGACUGGAACCCGGCCCAAGCCCCUAGGGGGGGCAGAGGUAGGGAAUUUUCCGCAAGGGGGGAAGGUCGGACGGGGAAACGCCGCGGGAGGGAAGAAGGCCUUCGGGUGGUAAAGCUCUUUUGUUGGGAAAAAAAAAGUAACGCAGUAACGGGCGUUCCCGGGACGGUACCUAACAAAAAAGCCACGGCAACCUACGU